GUGUCAGCAGCCGCGGUAAUACGUAGGGUGCGAGCGUUGUCCGGAAUUAUUGGGCGUAAAGAGCUCGUAGGCGGUGUGUCGCGUCGGCCGUGAAAACCUGGGGCUUAACUCUGGGCGUGCGGUCGAUACGGGCAUCACUAGAGUUCGGCAGGGGAGACUGGAAUUCCUGGUGUAGCGGUGAAAUGCGCAGAUAUCAGGAGGAACACCGGUGGCGAAGGCGGGUCUCUGGGCCGAUACUGACGCUGAGGAGCGAAAGCAUGGGUAGCGAACAGGAUUAGAUACCCUCGUAGUCC
Molecule: ribosomal RNA, 293 nt
Filed under: uncultured bacterium
Lineage: Bacteria
Description: partial 16S ribosomal RNA
Rfam family: Bacterial small subunit ribosomal RNA
Source: RNAcentral